Molecule: ribosomal RNA, 496 nt
Filed under: uncultured bacterium
Lineage: Bacteria
Description: partial 16S ribosomal RNA
Rfam family: Bacterial small subunit ribosomal RNA
Source: RNAcentral
GAUGAACGCUAGCGGCAGGCCUAAUACAUGCAAGUCGAGGGGUAGAAGAGGCUUGCUUCUUUGAGACCGGCGCACGGGUGCGUAACGCGUAUGCAACCUACCUUCAUCUGGGGGAUAGCCCGGAGAAAUCCGGAUUAAUACCGCAUAAAAUCACAGGAUGGCAUUAUCCAAUGAUCAACAAUUUAUGGGAUGGAGAUGGGCAUGCGUGUCAUUAGCUAGUUGGCGGGGUAACGGCCCACCAAGGCGACGGUGACUAGGGGAGCUGAGAGGAUGGCCCCCCACACUGGUACUGAGACACGGACCAGACUCCUACGGGAGGCAGCAGUAAGGAAUAUUGGUCAAUGGAGGCAACUCUGAACCAGCCAUGCCGCGUGCAGGAAGACUGCCCUAUGGGUUGUAAACUGCUUUUAUUCGGGAAUAAACCUUAUUACGUGUAAUAAGCUGAAUGUACCGAAGGAAUAAGGAUCGGCUAACUCCGUGCCAGCCGCCGCGGUAA